RNAcentral lists this ribosomal RNA (572 nucleotides) under Tuber aestivum (summer truffle). RNAcentral describes it as "eukaryotic LSU rRNA". It matches the Rfam family "Eukaryotic large subunit ribosomal RNA", at positions 39 to 611 of the family's 3401-position model. The record is from RNAcentral. Lineage: Eukaryota; Fungi; Ascomycota; Pezizomycetes; Pezizales; Tuberaceae.
CAUAUCAAUAAGCGGAGGAAAAGAAACCAACAGGGAUUGCCUCAGUAACGGCGAGUGAAGCGGCAAGAGCUCAAAUUUGAAAUCUGGCGCCCCGCAGGCGUCCGAGUUGUAAUUUGGAGAGGCAUCUUCAGGAGGGGGCCCGGCCUAUGUUCCUUGGAACAGGGCGUCGCAGAGGGUGAGAAUCCCGUUCUUGGCCGGACAGCCCCUCCGGUGUGCAGUGUCUUCUACGAGUCGAGUUGUUUGGGAAUGCAGCUCAAAAUGGGUGGUAAAUUUCAUCUAAAGCUAAAUAUGGGCGAGAGACCGAUAGCGCACAAGUAGAGUGAUCGAAAGAUGAAAAGCACUUUGAAAAUAGAGUCAAACAGCACGUGAAAUUGUUGAAAGGGAAGCGCUUGAGACCAGACUCGGCCAUGGACUAACAGCUGUCCCUUCUGGGCGGUGCACUUGUCCUUGGCCGGGCCAGCAUCGGUUGGGACGGCGGGACAAAGGCUGGGGGAAUGUGACUCCCUUGAAGAGUGUUAUAGCCCCCGGCGCCAUGCCGCCCGCCCCGACCGAGGACCGCGCUUCGGCUAGGA